GAUGAACGCUGGCGGUGUGCCUAAUACAUGCAAGUCGAGCGGCAGCACGGUCUUCGGACUGGUGGCGAGCGGCGGACGGCUGAGUAACGCGUGGGAACGUGCCCCAAAGUGAGGGAUAACUCCGGGAAACCGGGGCUAAUACCGCAUAUGAUCUUCGGAUUAAAGUAUUUAUACGCUUUGGGAGCGGCCCGCGUACGAUUAGAUUGUUGGUGAGGUAAAGGCUCACCAAGUCGACGAUCGUUAGCUGGUCUGAGAGGAUGAUCAGCCAGACUGGGACUGAGACACGGCCCAGACUCCUACGGGAGGCAGCAGUAAGGAAUCUUCCACAAUGGGCGAAAGCCUGAUGGAGCAACACCGCGUGAAGGAUGAAGGCCCUCGGGUCGUAAACUUCUUUUAUGAGCGAAGAAUAUGACGGUAACUCAUGAAUAAGGGUCGGCUAACUACGUGCCAGCAGCCGCCGCGG
RNAcentral lists this ribosomal RNA (463 nucleotides) under uncultured bacterium. RNAcentral describes it as "partial 16S ribosomal RNA". It matches the Rfam family "Bacterial small subunit ribosomal RNA", at positions 28 to 523 of the family's 1533-position model. The record is from RNAcentral.